This 110-nucleotide ribosomal RNA is filed under the name Escherichia coli. RNAcentral's name for it is "partial 23S ribosomal RNA". It matches the Rfam family "Bacterial large subunit ribosomal RNA", at positions 2813 to 2925 of the family's 2925-position model. The record is from RNAcentral. Lineage: Bacteria; Pseudomonadati; Pseudomonadota; Gammaproteobacteria; Enterobacterales; Enterobacteriaceae. RNAcentral also lists the same sequence under 3 other names.
CCUUGAGAGUCCUGAAGGAACGUUGAAGACGACGACGUUGAUAGGCCGGAUGUGUAAGCGCAGCGAUGCGUUGAGCUAACCGGUACUAAUGAACCGUGAGGCUUAACCUU